This 492-nucleotide ribosomal RNA is filed under the name uncultured bacterium. RNAcentral's name for it is "partial 16S ribosomal RNA". It matches the Rfam family "Bacterial small subunit ribosomal RNA", at positions 29 to 507 of the family's 1533-position model. The record is from RNAcentral.
AGUGAACGCUGGCGGUAGGCCUAACACAUGCAAGUCGAACGGCAGCACAGUAAGAGCUUGCUCUUACGGGUGGCGAGUGGCGGACGGGUGAGGAAUACAUCGGAAUCUACUUUUUCGUGGGGGAUAACGUAGGGAAACUUACGCUAAUACCGCAUACGACCUACGGGUGAAAGCAGGGGAUCUUCGGACCUUGCGCGAUUGAAUGAGCCGAUGUCGGAUUAGCUAGUUGGCGGGGUAAAGGCCCACCAAGGCGACGAUCCGUAGAUGGUCUGAGAGGAUGAGCAGCGAAACUGGAACUGAGACACGGACCAGACUCCUACGGGAGGCAGCAGUGGGGAAUAUUGGACAAUGGGCGCAAGCCUGAUCCAGCAAUACCGCGUGGGUGAAGAAGGACUUCGGGUUGUAAAGACCUUUUGUUGGGAAAGAAAAGCAGCAGGUUAAUACCCCGCUGUUAUGACGGUACCCAAAGAAUAAGCACCGGCUAACUUCGUG